UAUCAUUUAAUUCAUAUAGAAUGCUUUCACAUCAUCUCUAACACAACGGAGUGUUUGGCUGCAAGUUUAGCUAAUAAACCUAGCAAGUUGCAUGGGCUAGAUCUGCCUAGACGCUUCCAUGGUUCUUGCAUCUUUUGCCUCACUAACCAUUACAGAUCUUUCCCCCUAAAUUAGCAAACAAGAAGUUUAAAGGCAAGAAAUUGAGUAUUGUUUUCCAAAAAUAAAUAAAUAAAA
Molecule: unclassified non-coding RNA, 234 nt
Filed under: Hevea brasiliensis (rubber tree)
Lineage: Eukaryota; Viridiplantae; Streptophyta; Magnoliopsida; Malpighiales; Euphorbiaceae
Source: RNAcentral